AUUCAUAUGACGAGUCCAAAAUAGGACGAAAUGUACACCGCGUGAAU
RNAcentral lists this non-coding RNA (47 nucleotides) under Trichobilharzia regenti. The record is from RNAcentral. Lineage: Eukaryota; Metazoa; Platyhelminthes; Trematoda; Strigeidida; Schistosomatidae.